RNAcentral lists this ribosomal RNA (497 nucleotides) under uncultured bacterium. Its description in RNAcentral is "partial 16S ribosomal RNA". It matches the Rfam family "Bacterial small subunit ribosomal RNA", at positions 28 to 507 of the family's 1533-position model. The record is from RNAcentral.
GAUGAACGCUGGCGGCGUGCCUAAUACAUGCAAGUCGAGCGAACGGACGAGAAGCUUGCUUUUCUGAUGUUAGCGGCGGACGGGUGAGUAACACGUGGAUAACCUACCUAUAAGACUGGGAUAACUUCGGGAAACCGGAGCUAAUACCGGAUAAUAUUUUGAACCGCAUGGUUCAAAAGUGAAAGACGGUCUUGCUGUCACUUAUAGAUGGAUCCGCGCUGCAUUAGCUAGUCGGUAAGGUAACGGCUUACCAAGGCAACGAUGCAUAGCCGACCUGAGAGGGUGAUCGGCCACACUGGAACUGAGACACGGUCCAGACUCCUACGGGAGGCAGCAGUAGGGAAUCUUCCGCAAUGGGCGAAAGCCUGACGGAGCAACGCCGCGUGAGUGAUGAAGGUCUUCGGAUCGUAAAACUCUGUUAUUAGGGAAGAACAUAUGUGUAAGUAACUGUGCACAUCUUGACGGUACCUAAUCAGAAAGCCACGGCUAACCACGUG